Molecule: unclassified non-coding RNA, 1327 nt
Filed under: Drosophila yakuba
Lineage: Eukaryota; Metazoa; Arthropoda; Insecta; Diptera; Drosophilidae
Description: GE11489
Source: RNAcentral
GGACGCUCUCAACUUUGCGUGCCUCCAUCGGCAUUUAAAUAAAGGAUUGACACAUAUAUUCGAAUUAGUCAUGAAGAAAUUGUGGGACGGAUUUCAUGAAUACGAAAUGUGGCGGAAGGCAGUGGCGAUGUUUCGUGAAUUUAUAAGGACUUUCCCGACGGCCUUUUGUGGAUUUAUAAGGUCUUUUGUGACAACCUUUUGUGGAUUUAUAAGGACUUUUCCAUCGACCUUUUGUGGAUUUAUAAGGACUUUUCCAACGACCUUUUGUGGAUUUAUAAGGACUUUUGUGACGAUCUUCUUUGGAUUUAUAAGGACAUUUGUGCAAAAAAAAGGGCUGCUUUGGAUUUUUGUGCUCGGCAUUUCUGGAUGGAGCACGGUUACCAUAUUGGUUCUUUUAAAAAACAGAUACGAAACGGACUCCACGACCAUAGGGCUGUCGACUGCCUAUCUUCGCUGGACAAACACCUUCCCAUCGAUUGCAAUCUGUUUGACAAAAACGCAAUCGGGAAGCGAAUUCCAGGACGCAAUAAAGAAACGUUUUGGUCCCAAAAUACCCUACGUCAUAAUAAGAAGUUUAUACUCAUAUAUUUUUGUUAACCCUAACAGCAUCAACGCAGCAUCAACCGCUUGCAAGAAGCCGAACUCGUGCAAUUUUGAUAUCUUUGAAUUAAGAAGAGAGUUCUUUCCAACAAAUUGCACUGUGAUCUUUGAGAAAGUAUACUUUCGUGAAGAAUUGCAGCCAGAUUGCGAAGAGAUAUUCAAGUUUCAUGAGACGGAAAUGGGCUACUGCUUUCUGGCAAACAAUCUAUUGGACUAUAAGUCUAUCGAAGAGAUGCCUCUCAGGUAUUCUUCGUUGGAAAAACACCGAAAUCUGCGAUUAAUUUUACGACGAUCUCCAAUAUAUGGGUAUGAGUUGUACGUCAACAGCCCUGAGGAUCUUCCCUUCUUCAAUGCCUUGUCCUACAGCAUCUCACACGAACCCCAAGUACACGCCUUCAACGUCGAGGAGAUUGACAAUCACGAAGGCGUCAUCGACGAGCCUGUUUCCCAAAGGAAGUGCAAGUUCCCAAGCGAAAGUUCCGUCGAGGGGUUUCCUUACAGCUUCUCGACCUGCAUGUCCAUCAUCCGGAGUAAGUUUGAAAUGGAACUGUGCAACUGCUCUUUAUUCAGCCCCCAGAAUCGCAACGAAAGUAUCUUUUGCGGAAUGUUGGAUCUCCAAUGCUUGGACAACGUUGGCAUCUAGAGUGAAGGAUUACGUUGGACAGAACAUGGCUUGCUUGCCAUCCUGCGUGGAGCAGCAGAUAAGUCUAGUGGGGUCCCAACUAGA